RNAcentral lists this ribosomal RNA (319 nucleotides) under uncultured eukaryote. RNAcentral's name for it is "partial 18S ribosomal RNA". It matches the Rfam family "Eukaryotic small subunit ribosomal RNA", at positions 1470 to 1796 of the family's 1831-position model. The record is from RNAcentral.
CCCUUAGAUGUUCUGGGCAGCACGCGCGCUACAAUGGUCUUCGCAAACGGAUGCAUUCUCGAAGGAGAAUGCCAAUCUUGGAAUCUAUGCCUUGGUCGGGACAGUUGCUUGCAAUUUUUCGACUCGAACCAGGAAUUCCUUGUAAUCGUGAUUCAUCACAUCACGAUGAAUACGUCCCUACCCUUUGUACACACCGCCCGCCGCUCCUACCGAUCGAAGAGUUAGGUGAAUUGUUUUGAUCGAUAAGAUUUGACUAUGGUCAACUCUCGUUGUGAAAUUCUGUGAAUCUGACUGUUUAGAGGAAGGAAAAGUCGUAACA